Hemicordylus capensis (graceful crag lizard) is the source of this 778-nucleotide long non-coding RNA. RefSeq lists it as uncharacterized. NCBI's taxonomy places the organism in Eukaryota, Metazoa, Chordata, Lepidosauria, Squamata, Cordylidae. The transcript is spliced from 4 exons. The record is from RefSeq and is a predicted model, not a curated record.
CUCGAGUAGGGCCCAAGCCAGCCAGGAAGGAGGAGGCAGCCAGAGUGGCCACCACUGUUCUCUGCAGCAGAAGACCCCUUGCUGCCAGACUUCAGUGGCAGAGCACCCAUAACCUUCAUUCUUCUGCUGUUGGCCUUAACUGAUGACGAUGACAUCAUCAUCAAGUUUGCGUGGCUUCUGGGACAAGAUUUGCUUCCCUGUGUUUGUAUUAGCUAGCUGCAGAAGGUUUUGGAAGGAAGCAACUUAAGCUGGCAAAAUGAUGUGGGGAAAACAGGCUCCUCCUCGCUCCAUGCUGUGGCCAUGAUUUAGUCACAGAACGCACAGCUGGUGUUUGGAAAGGAAAAAGAUUGUGAGAGUUGCAGUUAUGGAAACCCCAUCCACACAAGAUCUAGUUUGGCCCUUGUAUCCAGAACAGAGGAGACCCAGAUAAUAUAUAUAGUCCAAUGUAAAAGACCUAGGAUGAACUAGUCUGCAAUUAAGGCCUUCUGGAACCCUUGCUAAGUUCAGGAAAUGGCUCCAUCAUAACUGCAAGAGCUGACUGUAUUACUUGCCAAACUUCAGGCCUCUCUCUCAAGUAUUCCUCCCAAGAGUGCUACACUGAGCCUUCUUUCUCCCAGCACUGCUGCAGCUCCGGUCAAGCUAACCCACUGACCAGAUGGAAAUGAUUUGGCUCAUGCAAUUUGCUGAUCAUUGCCUUAAUGGCGGUGGCUGAUCCAGCGAGGUCACCCAGAAGACACUGUAUCUCUCCUCUUUAAGUACACUAAUAUUUUUCUGGUGA